UUCAUUGCCAGAUCCCCAGUCUGCUGCAAAUGUGCCACGUCAAGACUGGAAAUCACAGCACUUCAGUGUGUUUCAGUUUUGCACACUAGGGAAUAAGAAACGCUAAGGGACACUGUGAAAAAGGAGGACUGCAGAAUAAUGCGGGGAAGACAUUCUGGUAAGGCCUACUUUGGAAGAACACCUGGCCUAUGACCUGGCAAACCUAGGUGACUCCCCCCCCCUUCCUCCAGUCAUCACUGCAAGAAAGAUGGAGCUCUGAUGAUUUACUAAAACCUAUGCAAGAAAUGAGCGAGGUAUACUACCUAGAUGUGUACUACUUAGAGAAGUGUACAAGAGCAUAGUUGAAGUCGGUCAUUUUUUUCUUUUUCUUUUCUUUUUUUUUUUUUUUAAAUUUAAAAUAAAGUUUACUUUUGCCCACAAACUCAAAAGGUAAAUUUAAUAUUUUUUUACUUGUAGCAAUCAGUAUAAAUAUCUAAGGAGUAUAUUGCUUUCUUUUAAUGCAGAAGAGGCUUGCUAGUAUGUAUUCUGAAUAGCUCUCGUUAUGAACUAUUAAUCUGAAGAUCAAUUUUAAGAAAAUACUUUCUCUUAAAGUAAUAAAAUAAUAUAAAUGAAUGCAUGAAUAUUAUUUUAAAUUAUUGUAAAAUAUAUCGCUGUUGGGAUAACUGUACUUUGAUUUUCUAUGCAACUGAAACUUCUUUGCAAGUAAUCUAUGCUCUGUGUACUAAUGAAAACUGGGAGGGAUCCCAUAGGGAAUAUAUGACUACUCUAUGCUUUGCUUCUGCCAUGUAGCAUACAAAAUAUUUGAUUGUUUAGGAAAAAUUACCUCUGAAAGUGCAGGAUGUAAUGGGGAAAAGUAAUCCAAAUCAAUCAAUAAAUAAAACAGAACAAACAGCUUUCCGCCCCAUACCUGCCUGGCUAUUGCUUAUAAGCGAUCGGCACCGAUUGAUUGUUACCGCUGAUGUAUAGUUUGCUUUGCUGAUAUUUCUUCUAACAAUCUAACAUCUUCUAACAAAAUGAUAAGUUACUUUGUCCUAAAUCCCACUGAUAGAAAAGGAAUUUGUAAACGAAUGCAGAAGUUUGCUUUGGUGAAUUUCCAGCUGUCCUGGUAGGGGAAAAAAACCCUCAGGCUGAAUGAAAUCCCCACGGACAGAAUAAUACAAAAAGUCUGGGCUGCAAUCUGAUACCAGCUGAACUCCAGAGUCAGCUCCCCUAAAGUUAGCACUAGUAACAAACUACUGCAACCAGAAAAAAAAAGAAAAAAAUAAAAAAAAAUUUAAAGAAAAUAAAAAAAACCCACCUAUAUGGUGCUCAUUAUGGCCAGGAAGGCUUGCAAUAGCUGCACUAUAAAAAGAAUUAGCAGAAAUAAGCAGCCAUUAGUACAAUUAGCUGGCGAUUAUGCAGAAUGUGUAUUAUAUUCCAGACAGCCUUGACGCCGUGCAAUUGUUAAAAAUAUGUAUAUUAUCAUUACCUUUCUCACUGCUCCUUCAGUAAUCAAUAGAAGUCCUAUUGGGAAGACAUGGCCGUGUAGCAUUAGUGUGACUGUACUUAUACUGCUUGCCUUACAGCCUGCAAAGCAACAAGCACUGUCAUUUCCCUUACCCUCCCAAAAAAGCUUUUGCAAUUUGACUUAAAGAAUGAUUAUUUCUUGUAAUUGUAGAUGCACUGCCAGGUUGUCCACCCUCUCUUCCCUUAUUUCACCAAAGAUUAUCUUCAGUGUUAAAUUAGUGGGUUUUCAUCCUUUGUAGUCUGAAGGAAUUUUUACUCUCAUUCUACUUUAAAGUGAAAUUACAAGCAAGUUAAAUAGCCAAGCUGAA
Molecule: non-coding RNA, 1814 nt
Organism: Coturnix japonica (Japanese quail)
Lineage: Eukaryota; Metazoa; Chordata; Aves; Galliformes; Phasianidae
Source: RefSeq, a predicted model, not a curated record